Molecule: transfer RNA, 72 nt
Filed under: Dorymyrmex brunneus
Lineage: Eukaryota; Metazoa; Arthropoda; Insecta; Hymenoptera; Formicidae
Description: tRNA-Ala
Source: RNAcentral
UGGAUAUUAGUUAAAUAAUAACAUUUAAAUUGCAUUUAAAAAUUAUACAUAAACAUAUACAUAUAUAUCUAA